CCUACGGGUGGCAGCAGUGGGGGAUAUUGGACAAUGGGGGGAACCCUGAUCCAGCGACGCCGCGUGAGUGAAGAAGUAUCUCGGUAUGUAAAGCUCUAUCAGCAGGGAAGAAGAAAUGACGGUACCUGAGUAAGAAGCCCCGGCUAACUACGUGCCAGCAGCCGCGGGAAUACGUAGGGGGCAAGCGGUAUCCGGAAUUACUGGGUGUAAAGGGAGCGUAGACGGUGAUGUAAGUCUGGAGUGAAAGGCGGGGGCCCAACCCCCGGACUGCACUUGAAACUGUGUGGCUGGAGUGCAGGAGAGGUGAGCAGAAUUCCUAGUGUAGCGGUGAAAUGCGUAGAUAUUAGGAGGAACACCAGUGGCGAAGGCGGCUUACUGGACUGUAACUGACGUUGAGGCUCGAAAGCGUGGGGAGCAAACAGGAUUAGAUACCCGUGUAGUC
This 442-nucleotide ribosomal RNA is filed under the name uncultured bacterium. Its description in RNAcentral is "partial 16S ribosomal RNA". It matches the Rfam family "Bacterial small subunit ribosomal RNA", at positions 338 to 795 of the family's 1533-position model. The record is from RNAcentral.